GACAGAGGGUGCAAACGUUGUUCGGAAUUACUGGGCGUAAAGCGCGUGUAGGCGGCUAAGUAAGUCGGGCGUGAAAUCCCACGGCUCAACCGUGGAAGUGCACUCGAAACUGCAUAGCUAGAGUCCUGGAGAGGAAGGUGGAAUGCUUGGUGUAGAGGUGAAAUUCGUAGAUAUCAAGCGGAACACCGGCGGCGAAGGCGGCCUUCUGGACAGUGACUGGACGCGUGA
RNAcentral lists this ribosomal RNA (228 nucleotides) under uncultured bacterium. Its description in RNAcentral is "partial 16S ribosomal RNA". It matches the Rfam family "Bacterial small subunit ribosomal RNA", at positions 524 to 749 of the family's 1533-position model. The record is from RNAcentral.